Long non-coding RNA from Nannospalax galili (Upper Galilee mountains blind mole rat), 2274 nucleotides. RefSeq lists it as uncharacterized. Lineage: Eukaryota; Metazoa; Chordata; Mammalia; Rodentia; Spalacidae. The transcript is spliced from 2 exons. The record is from RefSeq and is a predicted model, not a curated record.
UUCUUCUCUCUUUCUCUUGUAGAUUGUCUACAAAGCCUGGCUGUGUUCCCAGUAUUUUGAAGUCACGCAGUUUAACUGCAGAAAGACAAUUCCUUGCAAGCAAUACUGUUUGGAGGUCCAGACGAGGUGUCCGUUUAUAUUGCCCGACAAUGACGAAGUCAUCUAUGGAGGCCUCUCCAGCUUCAUCUGCACAGGGCUCUACGAAACCUUCAUAACCAAUGAUGAACCCGAAUGCUGUGACGUCAUCAGCGAGGAGCAAUCCACAUCCCGAGCCAAAGGGACUAAAGACAGAAGGGGUUCCUGUUCCAGGACGUCGCUCACAGUGUCCUCGGCUACGAGACUGUGUCCCGGCCGGCUCAAGCUGUGCGUCCUUGUAUUGAUUCUCCUGCACACAGUGCUCACAGCCUCGGCUGCGCAGAACACCACGGGCCUGGGCCUGGGAGGCCUCCCCGCGCUCGAGGACAACUCCACCCAGGAGGACUGAGCUCCACACUCGUGCGCACAGCGACCUGAGCGGUCCAAGUGCGCACUUCUGCAGGAGAGGCGCACGCGCGUGCGCAGAGCAGCAGCGGCCCACCCGGGAGGCGCACCUGCUGUCCACUGAACAGAACCCGGGGGCUUUUACCCUCUGACUUCUUGCAAGGCCUUUGGGGUAAAAUUUAAAAGAUGGGCCCGAUUCCAAACAAGGACACGACCGCAGCUUUUUAUUGACUGAAAGGCUGCAAAGUGACUCAAUUUCUCACACCAUUUUAUACACUGUGUUUUAAUGUUGAGGUUUUCUUUGCUUUCGGUUCGGUUUGGGUUUAUUUGUUUGUUUAUUUUUUCUGCACUUGUUAAUACAGGAUUUCUUUUGGGGGAUGGUUUCUCAGAGGUAAACUAAGUCUCUUCACUGUCUAUCUAUCUAUCUAUUUCUAUCAUUGUGUGUUCAUCAGAUAGUUCUGUCUCUAUGUCCUGUCAGUUUCUAUUAGAGGAAUGAGCUAUGACCUCAUGGUAUAGCAAAAAAACAACAACAACAAAAAAAGAAUUAAAAAAAGAUAAAAAAGACAAAAAAAAGAAAACAACAAAAAAUAAAAAAUAAAAAAAAAUCCCUAAGCCUCCUUCCAACCCAUGGACGCCACGCCCUGCAGGCUGUCCUUGCCCUUGCCCUCUUCUGUCCCCCAAGCAGACAACAUCCGCUUGCUUCUGUCUGUGUAUCGCAGUGGUGGGAGUGUGCUCUUGCACAAACUGAGCAGAACAUGGCGGAGCCAGGGGGCCUGGUGGGGUUGCUUUCAGAUGAACCAACAGUGCGCUCCAUGAGAUUGGAAUCAGGCAGUUCACAUGUUUUUUUGUUGAAAACACAAUAAAAGAAAAAAAAUGCUGUCAUGAACUGAGUCGCUCCAGUUGGCAUUUCCAGUCCUUUCUCGCUGGUCAGGCGGACAGGAACCGCCUGUAGCCAAUGAGGUGGGGAGCGAAGAAAAAGCCGCUCACAGCCUCCUCACUGAUCCCGGAGCGCAUUUUGGCCAUUGUAAAGGGAGCAAAGAGACCAUGAACACAAAUCGAGACUUCUGUUCCUCCUUUAUCAUGGUGGAAGGGAUUCUAGAAACUCUCAAACAUCUGCAAUAUACAGAAUAUGUACAAUUUUAUCCCAGUAUUUCUCAACAUAGAGUUCCAAAUUAUUCCAGGUACAAGAUGUAUGCAACUCUGCAUUAUCACAGAGGAACAACUUCUUAAAAAAAAAAAUACAAACCAAUAGAUCAGCCAUUUUUAUUACAGUGCAAAAACUUUCUCACUCCAGCACGCCUAGGCGGUUGAUGUAAAGAGAAGUCUGGUAACUCUGUUUGUACUUUUUUUUCCUUUGUGGGAACAUUUCACCCGCUGAGUGUAUACGAAUUUGCUUUCUAAAAAGGCUUUUAUGAGUUUACAGUAGAAUCAGUGGAAGGAAGAGUUAAUAAGGGCUGUUUUUACAAAACAAACAAACAAAACAAAUAAUUUUAAAAAGACACUUUACAUUCCUUCCUAUUCUCUAACAACAUUUGGGAAGUGCACUUCGGAUGUUUGCUGUGUGGAGAUGAAGGAAAUCCAUAGAAAAAGGUCCUCUUAGCGAACAAAAUUUAGUUAUUAACUUUAUAGCUAUGAAACUCCCCCAGGCAUUUGUUUUUGUUCAAACAGACUGUCCUCUGCAUCAUGCUUUUAACCCUGCGACACGCGUACAGUAUGCAUAUUUUGUUUUGAAUAAAAUGUUUUGUUCCAGUCUGUUAAGAAUAUUAAAAAUAAUAAAGGUAUUGCUUAAUAAAA